UACAGAGGUCCCAAGCGUUGUUCGGAUUCACUGGGCGUAAAGGGUGCGUAGGCGGCCGGGUAAGUCUGAUGUGAAAUCCCGCAGCUCAACUGCGGAACUGCAUCGGAUACUCUCCGGCUAGAGGAAUGGAGGGGAGGCUGGAAUUCUCGGUGUAGCAGUGAAAUGCGUAGAUAUCGAGAGGAACACCAGUGGCGAAGGCGAGUCUCUGGACAUUUCCUAACGCUGAGGCACGAAAGCCAGGGGAGCAAACGGG
RNAcentral lists this ribosomal RNA (253 nucleotides) under uncultured bacterium. Its description in RNAcentral is "partial 16S ribosomal RNA". It matches the Rfam family "Bacterial small subunit ribosomal RNA", at positions 524 to 776 of the family's 1533-position model. The record is from RNAcentral.